UGGUGGAGUGAUUUGUCUGCUUAAUUGCGUUAACGAACGAGACCUUAACCUACUAAAUAGUUACGCCAACCUUUUGGUUGGUGGCCAACUUCUUAGAGGGACAAUAUGAGUCAAUCAUAUGGAAGUUUGAGGCAAUAACA
This 140-nucleotide ribosomal RNA is filed under the name uncultured eukaryote. RNAcentral describes it as "partial 18S ribosomal RNA". It matches the Rfam family "Eukaryotic small subunit ribosomal RNA", at positions 1299 to 1458 of the family's 1831-position model. The record is from RNAcentral.